GUCGAACGGACCGUAUACGCAGCUUGCUGCGUGUAUGGUUAGUGGCAGACGGGUGAGUAAUGCAUAGGAAUCUACCUAGUAGUAUGGGAUAGCCACUAGAAAUGGUGGGUAAUACUGUAUAAUCCCUGCGGGGGAAAGAUUUAUCGCUAUUAGAUGAGCCUAUGUCAGAUUAGCUAGUUGGUGGGGUAAUGGCCUACCAAGGCGGUGAUCUGUAGCUGGUCUGAGAGGAUGAUCAGCCACACUGGAACUGAGACACGGUCCAGACUCCUACGGGAGGCAGCAGUGGGGAAUAUUGGACAAUGGGCGCAAGCCUGAUCCAGCUAUGCCGCGUGAGUGAGGAAGGCCUUAGGGUUGUAAAACUCUUUCAGUAGGGAAGAUAAUGACGGUACCUACAGAAGAAGUCCCGGCAAACUCCGUGCCAGCAGCCGCGGUAAUACGGAGGGGGCAAGCGUUGUUCGGAAUUAUUGGGCGUAAAGGGCAUGUAGGCGGUUUGGUAAGUUAAAGGUGAAAUACCAGGGCUUAACCCUGGGGCUGCUUUUAAUACUGCAGGACUAGAGUCCGGAAGAGGAUAGCGGAAUUCCUAGUGUAGAGGUGAAAUUCGUAGAUAUUAGGAGGAACACCAGUGGCGAAGGCGGCUGUCUGGUCCGGUACUGACGCUGAGGUGCGAA
Molecule: ribosomal RNA, 668 nt
Filed under: Anaplasma marginale
Lineage: Bacteria; Pseudomonadati; Pseudomonadota; Alphaproteobacteria; Rickettsiales; Anaplasmataceae
Description: bacterial SSU rRNA
Rfam family: Bacterial small subunit ribosomal RNA
Source: RNAcentral